GUCAAGUUUAUCCACUGCCUGUUUUUGUAAAUAAAGUGUUACUGGAACACUGCCACACGCAUUUAUUUAAGCAUUGCCUGAAUCUGUAGCUGCUUUUGUGCUGUAACCACAGACUGAGUAGUUGUGACAGACACCUUCGGACUCACAAAAGCCUGAACUAUUUACUUUGCAGAAGAUGUUUCCGACCCUGGCUUUCACACGUAAUUAUGCUGCUGAGGGAUUGCUGUACCAAGAUGAAAGCUUUGUUAUUGCCAGUCCCACUGUUCACAUCUCCCUGCUAUGCUCCAUCAGACCAGCCUCUGGGUAAAAAUCCAACAGCUCCUUAACAAAUCAAGAACACUAGCCAGAGGGGAAGAGAGCUCAGAGAACAGAGAGAAAGAGAAAGAGAAGAGAGAGAGAGAGAGCAAGCGAGCUGCUGGAUCACCUCCCAAAUGUAUACAACAUCCAGGGCUGGGUCAAUUCAAACCCAGAAGCCAGAACUCAAUCCAAGUUUCCUACAUGGAUGGUAGGAACCCAAUUUCUCAGCCUGUCACUGCUGCUUCCAGAGUGCAUUAGCAGGAAGCUGGAGUCAGGAGUCAGAUUCCGGUGUGGAAUCAGGGUACUGAAGUGUGGGAUGUGGGCAUCCUAGCACCUACACUAAAAGGCUGCUCCCCUAUAGUAGACUCUUUCAUGUGCUGCUCUUCUGACAGAAGUGCCUGUCUUUUCCCCCUCCCCUCCAUCCAUUUUCUUUU
Non-coding RNA from Oryctolagus cuniculus (rabbit), 731 nucleotides. Lineage: Eukaryota; Metazoa; Chordata; Mammalia; Lagomorpha; Leporidae. The record is from RefSeq and is a predicted model, not a curated record.